This 497-nucleotide ribosomal RNA is filed under the name uncultured bacterium. RNAcentral's name for it is "partial 16S ribosomal RNA". It matches the Rfam family "Bacterial small subunit ribosomal RNA", at positions 28 to 507 of the family's 1533-position model. The record is from RNAcentral.
GAUGAACGCUGGCGGCGUGCCUAAUACAUGCAAGUCGAGCGAACAGACGAGGAGCUUGCUCCUCUGACGUUAGCGGCGGACGGGUGAGUAACACGUGGAUAACCUACCUAUAAGACUGGGAUAACUUCGGGAAACCGGAGCUAAUACCGGAUAAUAUAUUGAACCGCAUGGUUCAAUAGUGAAAGACGCUUUUGCUGUCACUUAUAGAUGGAUCCGCGCCGCAUUAGCUAGUUGGUAAGGUAACGGCUUACCAAGGCGACGAUGCGUAGCCGACCUGAGAGGGUGAUCGGCCACACUGGAACUGAGACACGGUCCAGACUCCUACGGGAGGCAGCAGUAGGGAAUCUUCGGCAAUGGGCGAAAGCCUGACGGAGCAACGCCGCGUGAGUGAUGAAGGUCUUCGGAUCGUAAAGCUCUGUUAUUAGGGAAGAACAAAUGUGUAAGUAACUAUGCACGUCUUGACGGUACCUAAUCAGAAAGCCACGGCUAACUACGUG